This 477-nucleotide ribosomal RNA is filed under the name uncultured bacterium. Its description in RNAcentral is "bacterial SSU rRNA". It matches the Rfam family "Bacterial small subunit ribosomal RNA", at positions 316 to 810 of the family's 1533-position model. The record is from RNAcentral.
GGACUGAGACACGGCCCAGACUCCUACGGGAGGCAGCAGUGGGGGAUAUUGCACAAUGGGGGGAACCCUGAUGCAGCGACGCCGCGUGAGCGAAGAAGUACCUCGGUAUGUAAAGCUCUAUCAGCAGGGAAGAAGAUGACGGUACCUGACUAAGAAGCUCCGGCUAAAUACGUGCCAGCAGCCGCGGUAAUACGUAUGGAGCAAGCGUUAUCCGGAUUUACUGGGUGUAAAGGGAGCGUAGGCGGCCUGGCAAGUCUGGUGUGAAAACCCGGGGCCCAACCCCGGGAGUGCAUUGGAAACUGCCAGGCUGGAGUGCCGGAGGGGCAGGCGGAAUUCCUAGUGUAGCGGUGAAAUGCGUAGAUAUUAGGAGGAACACCGCUGGCGAAGGCGGCCUGCUGGACGGCAACUGACGCUGAGGCUCGAAAGCGUGGGGAGCAAACAGGAUUAGAUACCCUGGUAGUCCACGCCGUAAACGAU